UUAGUUAUAGUUUAAUAAAAACAUAAAAUUGCAAGUUUUGAGAUCUACAUUGUUACUAAU
This 60-nucleotide transfer RNA is filed under the name Laeocathaica amdoana. Its description in RNAcentral is "tRNA-Cys". Lineage: Eukaryota; Metazoa; Mollusca; Gastropoda; Stylommatophora; Camaenidae. The record is from RNAcentral.